Molecule: ribosomal RNA, 510 nt
Filed under: uncultured bacterium
Lineage: Bacteria
Description: partial 16S ribosomal RNA
Rfam family: Bacterial small subunit ribosomal RNA
Source: RNAcentral
GACGAACGCUGGCGGCGUGCUUAACACAUGCAAGUCGAACGAAGAGCGAUGGAAGCUUGCUUCUAUCAAUCUUAGUGGCGAACGGGUGAGUAACGCGUAAUCAACCUGCCCUUCAGAGGGGGACAACAGUUGGAAACGACUGCUAAUACCGCAUACGAUCUAAUCUCGGCAUCGAGGAUAGAUGAAAGGUGGCCUCUACAUGUAAGCUAUCACUGAAGGAGGGGAUUGCGUCUGAUUAGCUAGUUGGAGGGGUAACGGCCCACCAAGGCGAUGAUCAGUAGCCGGUCUGUGAGGAUGAACGGCCACAGUGGGACUGAGACACGGCCCAGACUCCUACGGGAGGCAGCAGUGGGGAAUCUUCCGCAAUGGACGAAAGUCUGACGGAGCAACGCCGCGUGAGCGAUGACGGCCUUCGGGUUGUAAAGCUCUGUUAAUCGGGACGAAAGGCCUUCUUGCGAAUAGUGAGAAGGAUUGACGGUACCGGAAUAGAAAGCCACGGCUAACUACGUG